AGAUUGAACGCUGGCGGCAUGCCUAACACAUGCAAGUCGAACGGGAGUAGCAAUACUCUAGUGGCGGACGGGUGAGGAAUACGUAGGAAUUUGCCCUUAAGUGGGGGAUAACCCGGGGAAACCCGGAUUAAUACCGCAUGACCUCGAAAGAGCAAAGUGGGGGAUCGCAAGACCUCACGCUUUUGGAGAAGCCUACGUCGGAUUAGCUAGUUGGUGAGGUAAUGGCUCACCAAGGCGACGAUCCGUAACUGGUCUGAGAGGAUGAUCAGUCACACCGGAACUGAGACACGGUCCGGACUCCUACGGGAGGCAGCAGUGGGGAAUAUUGGACAAUGGGCGCAAGCCUGAUCCAGCAAUGCGCGUGUGUGAAGAGGCUUCGGUUGUAAGCACUUUAAGUAGGAAGAAAAACUCGACUACGUAACACAGUGAGUCUUGACGGUACCGUACAGAAGUAAGACCACGUCUAACGUCUGU
RNAcentral lists this ribosomal RNA (474 nucleotides) under uncultured soil bacterium. Its description in RNAcentral is "bacterial SSU rRNA". It matches the Rfam family "Bacterial small subunit ribosomal RNA", at positions 26 to 508 of the family's 1533-position model. The record is from RNAcentral.